GCAUAUCAAUAAGCGGAGGAAAAGAAACUAACAAGGAUUCCCCUAGUAACUGCGAGUGAAGCGGGAAAAGCUCAAAUUUAAAAUCUGGCGGUCUUCGGCCGUCCGAGUUGUAGUCUGGAGAAGUGCUUUCCGCGCUGGACCGUGUAUAAGUCUCUUGGAACAGAGCGUCAUAGAGGGUGAGAAUCCCGUCUUUGACACGGACUACCAGUGCUUUGUGAUGCGCUCUCAAAGAGUCGAGUUGUUUGGGAAUGCAGCUCAAAAUGGGUGGUGAAUUCCAUCUAAAGCUAAAUAUUGGCGAGAGACCGAUAGCGAACAAGUACCGUGAGGGAAAGAUGAAAAGCACUUUGGAAAGAGAGUUAAACAGUACGUGAAAUUGCUGAAAGGGAAACGCUUGAAGUCAGUCGCGUCGUCCGGAACUCAGCCUUGCUUCCGCUUGGUGCACUUUCCGGAUGACGGGUCAGCAUCGAUUUUGACCGUCGGAAAAGGGCUGGAGUAAUGUGGCACCUCCGGGUGUGUUAUAGACUCUGGUCGCAUACGGCGGUUGGGAUCGAGGAACGCAGCGCGCCGCAAGGCAGGGGUUCGCCCACUUUCGCGCUUAGGAUGCUGGCAUAAUGGCUUUAAACGACCCGUCUUGAAACACGGACCAAGGAGUCUAACAUACCUGCGAGUGUUUGGGUGGAAAACCCGAGCGCGUAAUUAAAGUGAAAGUUGAGACCUCUGUCGUGGAGGGCAUCGACGCCCGGACCUGACGUUCUCUGAAGGAUCCGCGGUAGAGCAUGUAUGUUGGGACCCGAAAGAUGGUGAACUAUGCCUGAAUAGGGUGAAGCCAGAGGAAACUCUGGUGGAGGCUCGUAGCGAUUCUGACGUGCAAAUCGAUCGUCAAAUUUGGGUAUAGGGGGCGAAAGACUAAUCGAACCAUCUAGUAGCUGGGUUCCUGCCGA
RNAcentral lists this ribosomal RNA (941 nucleotides) under Ganoderma oregonense. RNAcentral's name for it is "LSU rRNA". It matches the Rfam family "Eukaryotic large subunit ribosomal RNA", at positions 38 to 964 of the family's 3401-position model. Lineage: Eukaryota; Fungi; Basidiomycota; Agaricomycetes; Polyporales; Polyporaceae. The record is from RNAcentral.